Non-coding RNA from Pelodiscus sinensis (Chinese soft-shelled turtle), 2951 nucleotides. The record is from RefSeq and is a predicted model, not a curated record. Lineage: Eukaryota; Metazoa; Chordata; Testudines; Trionychidae.
ACACACACACACUGCCCUGACCAUUGGCUGACACUUCCGGCAUACAUACAGAAAUGUAUAUGAAUGAAGAUUCAGUAUUACUGACAACCAAAAAUAGUGUUUAUAGAGUCCAAGGCCAGAAGGGGCUACUCUCUUCUAUUCUUACAGCCUAUGUAACAGAUGCCACAGACCUUCUCCCAGAUAAUUCCUUUUCGAAGAACAGAACAUCUUUUAGAAAAACAUCCAACCUUGAUUUUAAAAUGGAUAGUAAUGGGGAUGCCCCCACAACUCAGGGUAAAUUGUACCAAUGUUUAAUUAUCCUCACUGUGAAAUAUUUAACAUUUAAUUCAAGUUCUGAAUGUUAUCUAACUUCAACUUCUAGCUACCGAACGUUGUUAUGCCUUUGUCUGCUAGACCAAAGAUCCCAUUAUCAAAUAUUUUUCCCUAUUUAGGAACAUAAAAACCUGAUCAGUUCAUCCUAUAACUUUCCUUAUGGCAAGCUAAGAAGAUUGUGCCUGAGACUGUAUGUAUAAAGGCAUAUUUUCCAAUCCUGUAAUAAUUCUUGUACCUCUUCUCUAAACCCUCUCCAAUUUGUCAACAUCCUUGAUUAGUGAACACCAGAACAGGACGCAGUAUUCCAGCAGCAGUCACACUGGUGUUUAAUACAGAGGUGCAGGAUACAGUCGAGGACGAGAUGGAGAGGGAUUGAAUGAUGUUCUGUAUCAUGUACGGAACACCAGGAGGCAAACCUGCGCUAUUUGGAAAGGACUUUGGCCAUGAGGACUCUGGGAGGAAAGGCAUCCAGGAGAGGCCCGUUCCAAUUGAGUAGGAGUGCGUCGCCCAAGGAUCCCUGACCUACUCCUGUUCUGGAGCAGUAAUAGUGGCACUUCUUGUUGCGAUAGGUCGCAAAGAAGUCUAUGAGGGGUGUCCCCCACCAUCAGAAGAGGAGAUGAAGGACUCUGUCAUGGAGCUCCCAUUCAUGAUCCGGUAUGAAGGGCCUGCUCAGGAAAUUUGCAGCAAGGUUGUUGACUCCGGGUCUCUGAGGACUCCUGCUGAUUGAAUAUAAGAAACCCGUCUCAUCACCACUGCAGUAGCCAUCAACCGAGCUGCUGUGUCCGCUACAUCCAUGGCUAUUUGGAGCCCUACUCUGGCGGAAGUGUACCCCUCUUGUACGAUGGACUUCAAUAUGGGCCUCUUUGAUUCAGGGAGGUAGUCUAAGACCGAUGUUAGCUUGGUAUAAUUAUUGAAAUUAUGAUUUGAUAAAUGUGUGACGUAAUUUGCUAUCCUAAGCAGGAGCGUUGCAGACGUGUACACUUUCCUGCCAAAUAAAUCCAGCCUCUUAUUAUCUCUGUCAAUGGUGGAGUUUUUGUAGUGCAGUGUUUUUUAUCUUUGUUGAGCAGCAUCAACCACCAGGGAGUUGGACUGGGGAUGGGUGAAUAAAAAUUCCAUCCCCUUAAGCAGCACAAAGUACUUCUUGUCCAUUUUCUUACUGGUGGGCAGGGCAGAUGCAGGGGUUUGCCAAAUUUCAUCUGCUACUUCAAGUAUAGCUUCAUCCAAGGUAAUGGCUAUCUUGGAGCUUUGUGUUGGCUGGAGAUUCUUGAGAAGACGGUGUUGUUUCUCCUAUAUCUCUGCUAACUGCACUUCCUGGCUGACCGCCACCAUCUUGAAAAGUUCUUGAAAUUGUUUGAGGUUGUCAGGAGGUGAGAUGUUUCCCGGAAUAACGGCCUCAUCAGAUGAAGUGGAGGAUUGGUCCAUUGGGGAGAUGUCAGAUGGAUGCUCCUCUAUAUCAGAAGACUUCCCCUCCUCUGGUUCCAAACUGUUGCAGCUGUGGUGAUGCAGGUUAUUGGACUGGAGUGGGGGGGGGGAGGAGAGCUGGAGCCAGUGAAUGCCUGGAUGAGGUAAGUGGUGACAGUGAUGGUCAUAGUAACAGUAUACUCUGUGAAGGGGUGACCGUCUUUCAAGGUGCAAGUGCCUGUAGUGUUCCCAAUGCGCCGUCCGUGGUGAUUGUGGCGAAUGGGAUCAAGUGUAUGAGAUCCUGGAUGAAGGCGAUGGGGAGACAGAAAAACAGUGGUGGGAGUAAUGGGCAUGCUCUCUCGGUGCCCUGAGGAAUGGGGAUGAUAGUCUCCGGUGCAGGGAGCAAGGAGACCUGUGACGUUCCCCAGGGUGAGAUCUCAGUGUCGGUGAUUUCAGUGCCAGCGGUGAGGGCGAUAGCGCUGAAGAGAAAGUAGGCAAUGGCGACUGAGGCGUAAGGCUUCGGUGCCGAGGUGUUUUCGAUGCCGACUUCCUCCGUGCCGCAUCGUCUGGACGCGGGCUUGGUACUAACAGCGCUGGUGGUCGUGAGCUUGGUGCCAGUGGUGCCAAUGAGGAAUGCAGCGCGGGCAUGUCAGUUGGUGCCAGAGAUUUGGUUGUCGGAGUUGCCGGUGCUGAGGUUACUCUCGGCUCUGUCGGUGAGCGUGGUGUUGGCACUGCAGUCAUCGACUUUUUGUUUUGGAAGUUGAGACUGCUCUGGAUUGAGAAACGGCAGUGCCAGACGUGCCAGGCUUGUCUCCAAUACUCAAUCUGCUCUGCGACAUAGCAGGCAGAGAUCUUGUAGGGGAUGCCCUUACUUUCUUGGGCGGAGUGGCAGUAGGAGAUGAGGCUCUGCAUUUUGAGCCGGCUGGUCAGAAGAGGCUGUGUAAUCUGAUCCGGUGGGCUGGAGAGCCUUAUCGAAAAGGAUCAUCUCUCUAUCUCUGUGGGCCCUCGCCGUUAACUUACUACAAUGAGGGCACUUCUGUGGAACAUGAGCUUCGCCGAGACAUUGAAUACAAACCGAAUGCCCGUCAGAAGCAGGCAUGGCUUCGAGGCUUGUGUCACACUUUUUAAAACCUGGUGAGGCAGGCAUUUUGCUGUUCUUCAGUUAGGCUUUUUUUUUUUUUAAAGUCCUCAAAGUGAAGAGGAAUGAGAAGGGAUUUAACUAUAUAUAUAUAUAUGAA